UUCUCCCUUAGUCUCCUUCAACCUCAAUUCUUCAGCCACCGUCAACAUUGCUUCAACCUCAACUUUUCACUUCAAUCCUCAGAUAUCUUCACCCUUCACACUAUGAUCUUCAUUUUCUAUAGAACCGCUCCACCAUCCCACUCCACUUCAUCACAUUCCAUUCUUCAUCACCUUCAAUCCAAUAUCACUCUUCAAUCAUCUAACAGAAUUCACAAUGAAAAACAACAAAACGUGCCAUACAAUGACUUAACAGAGAUAAAAAACCUCAUCCAAGAUUAGAAACUCAACAAACCAAUUCAAAACUUAUCAAAGAAGAGGAGAAAUAGAAGAUAGCGAAAGAACAAGAUUCAAACAAAAAGCAUAAACGACAAUAGAAAAAUACGAACAAAAUCCUAAAAUAGAAAUGAAGAAGAAAACAAAGAGUAACAGAAGGAGAAUAAGAAAGCAUAAAGUGAAGGAGAUUGGAACGCGAGCGACGCAUCGAUCUUGGAGAAGGAUCCAUCUCCGAUUUGUUGCGCAAUUCCGUCUUCAACCUUCAUCGCCACACAACAAUCGGUUCAAACGGAUUCAUCAUCCUUCAACGCGAUAACGUUUCGAAC
RNAcentral lists this long non-coding RNA (599 nucleotides) under Lathyrus oleraceus (garden pea). RNAcentral's name for it is "Pisum sativum (pea) long non-coding RNA (PSAT_LNC012345)". The record is from RNAcentral. Lineage: Eukaryota; Viridiplantae; Streptophyta; Magnoliopsida; Fabales; Fabaceae.